GGGGAUGUGGCUCAGGGGUAGAGCGUCUGCUUGGUAUGUAGAAGGUCCCAGGUUCAAUCCCCGACAUCUCCA
Molecule: non-coding RNA, 72 nt
Organism: Gekko japonicus
Lineage: Eukaryota; Metazoa; Chordata; Lepidosauria; Squamata; Gekkonidae
Source: the annotation of a RefSeq genome assembly